GAUGAACGCUGGCGGCGUGCCUAAUACAUGCAAGUCGAGCGAACAGAUAAGGAGCUUGCUCCUUUGACGUUAGCGGCGGACGGGUGAGUAACACGUGGGUAACCUACCUAUAAGACUGGAAUAACUCCGGGAAACCGGGGCUAAUGCCGGAUAACAUUUAGAACCGCAUGGUUCUAAAGUGAAAGAUGGUUUUGCUAUCACUUAUAGAUGGACCCGCGCCGUAUUAGCUAGUUGGUAAGGUAACGGCUUACCAAGGCAACGAUUCGUAGCCGACCUGAGAGGGUGAUCGGCCACACUGGAACUGAGACACGGUCCAGACUCCUACGGGAGGCAGCAGUAGGGAAUCUUCCGCAAUGGGCGAAAGCCUGACGGAGCAACGCCGCGUGAGUGAUGAAGGUCUUCGGAUCGUAAAACUCUGUUAUUAGGGAAGAACAAAUGUGUAAGUAACUGUGCACGUCUUGACGGUACCUAAUCAGAAAGCCACGGCUAACUACGUG
Molecule: ribosomal RNA, 497 nt
Filed under: uncultured bacterium
Lineage: Bacteria
Description: partial 16S ribosomal RNA
Rfam family: Bacterial small subunit ribosomal RNA
Source: RNAcentral